UGAACGCUGGCGGCGUGCCUAAUACAUGCAAGUCGAGCGAACAGAUGAGGAGCUUGCUCCUCUGACGUUAGCGGCGGACGGGUGAGUAACACGUGGAUAACCUACCUAUAAGACUGGGAUAACUUCGGGAAACCGGAGCUAAUACCGGAUAAUAUAUUGAACCGCAUGGUUCAAUAGUGAAAGACGGUUUUGCUGUCACUUAUAGAUGGAUCCGCGCCGCAUUAGCUAGUUGGUAAGGUAACGGCUUACCAAGGCGACGAUGCGUAGCCGACCUGAGAGGGUGAUCGGCCACACUGGAACUGAGACACGGUCCAGACUCCUACGGGAGGCAGCAGUAGGGAAUCUUCCGCAAAGGGCGAAAGCCUGACGGAGCAACGCCGCGUGAGUGAUGAAGGUCUUCGGAUCGUAAAACUCUGUUAUUAGGGAAGAACAAAUGUGUAAGUAACUAUGCACGUCUUGACGGUACCUAAUCAGAAAGCCACGGCUAACUACGUG
Molecule: ribosomal RNA, 495 nt
Filed under: uncultured bacterium
Lineage: Bacteria
Description: partial 16S ribosomal RNA
Rfam family: Bacterial small subunit ribosomal RNA
Source: RNAcentral